This is a non-coding RNA of Podarcis lilfordi (Lilford's wall lizard), 73 nucleotides long. Lineage: Eukaryota; Metazoa; Chordata; Lepidosauria; Squamata; Lacertidae. The record is from the annotation of a GenBank genome assembly.
GCUGGGUUAGCACAGUUGGUAGAGAAUGAGACUCUUAUUCUCAGGGUUGUGGGUUUGAACCCCACGUUUGGCA